Molecule: long non-coding RNA, 806 nt
Filed under: Homo sapiens (human)
Lineage: Eukaryota; Metazoa; Chordata; Mammalia; Primates; Hominidae
Description: HSALNT0363353
Source: RNAcentral
GGGGUGGGUGGGGGAGCGGUUCAAGGUGGCUUCCUAGCCAGUAAUCCUUUCAAAUCUCCAGGGUGCUUGCAACCAUCUUCACCUCUUCCCAGGGGAAAGAUUCUGCCCCGGGAGUAAGAAGCUCUAGAAUUCUGCCUUGGGGAGAGAGGCUGAUGGGAUUGUCAAACUGGGGCCCUGGAAUCAGUGCUGUCGGGCUGGGGACCAGUGUCUCUGGCCUGUAAAACCUUCUCCCAAAACCUUCUGGGAGGCUUUGAGGGUCUCAGAGGAACCUGGCAGGAAGGUCAGAACUCAAACACUCCCACAUUCCUGGGCCCUCCACUGGAAAUGGGGUCAACGCUUAGCUGGUCACAACUUACCAGGAAUCUGUGAGGAUUCUCUCCUUGCCAUGGGGAUGAGGACAAAUUCUCCCUUCAUCCUUGAGAUUGGACUCCCGCCACACAUCCUGGAGGAGCCUACAGAGAAGCCGGCAGGUCUCCCUCACCUGGAUGGUGCCAGCGGGUGGCCUGGACCACCCAGAGGCCCUCUCCUGCACCUGACAGGAAGCCCCUGGGGCAUACGUCUCCCCUGCCACUUCCACUGUGGCCACUGGAAGUGUGGCAGAGAAAAUAGCUAGGACAAAAAGAAGUCAAUGAUUUCAACCAACGGAAUUUCUUUGUCCUUUGUAAAAAUCAACACAUGAUCUGUUACUGAUUGGGAUGUGAAAUAAAACUAAAAAUAACAGCACACUGAGCCUGGCUCAGGGCUCAGCUCACCUUUACCACGGUCCAAGUUCAGUUUAUCAGAUCCCAAGGAGCAGCUAAGCAGCA